AACGAACGCUGGCGGCAUGCCUAACACAUGCAAGUCGAACGAAGUCUUCGGACUUAGUGGCGCACGGGUGCGUAACGCGUGGGAAUCUGCCCUUGGGUGCGGAAUAACUUCUCGAAAGGGAUGCUAAUACCGCAUAAUGUCGUAAGACCAAAGAUUUAUCGCCCAAGGAUGAGCCCGCGUAAGAUUAGCUAGUUGGUGAGGUAACGGCUCACCAAGGCUACGAUCGGUAGCUGGUCUGAGAGGAUGAUCAGCCACAUUGGGACUGAGACACGGCCCAAACUCCUACGGGAGGCAGCAGUGGGGAAUAUUGGGACAAUGGGCGCAAGCCUGAUCCAGCCAUGCCGCGUGAGUGAUGAAGGCCUUAGGGUUGUAAAGCUCUUUUGUCCGGGAAGAUAAUGACUGUACCGGAAGAAUAAGCCCCGGCUAACUUCGUGCCAGCAGCCGCGGUAAU
RNAcentral lists this ribosomal RNA (451 nucleotides) under uncultured bacterium. RNAcentral's name for it is "bacterial SSU rRNA". It matches the Rfam family "Bacterial small subunit ribosomal RNA", at positions 29 to 524 of the family's 1533-position model. The record is from RNAcentral.